UGGGGCCCUAAUUAUUUUUGUUUUCUUAUUCCUGUGUUGCUUUUCCUCUUCUUCUGUUAUCUUCCUUCUGCAACUUCUUCAUAUCGGUAUUCCUUUUUUCUUUUUUACUUUUUUCUAAAUGUAAAGAGUUGCAUGGAGUGAUGUCUUAAAAUGAAAGUGAUAUUCUCUCUAUUUCAAAAAAACAUGAACAUUUAUUAAUGUGCUAUUGUGCCAAAAAAUAAUAUCUAUAACAUAAAAC
RNAcentral lists this long non-coding RNA (238 nucleotides) under Salvia miltiorrhiza (redroot sage). RNAcentral describes it as "long non-coding RNA (SMIL_LNC013325)". Lineage: Eukaryota; Viridiplantae; Streptophyta; Magnoliopsida; Lamiales; Lamiaceae. The record is from RNAcentral.